This 494-nucleotide ribosomal RNA is filed under the name uncultured bacterium. Its description in RNAcentral is "bacterial SSU rRNA". It matches the Rfam family "Bacterial small subunit ribosomal RNA", at positions 28 to 507 of the family's 1533-position model. The record is from RNAcentral.
GACGAACGCUGGCGGCGUGCCUAACACAUGCAAGUCGAACGGUCCGGCACUCAACCGACCCUCAGUCUAACUGUAGGGGAAGUUGAGUGCCGGGUAGUGGCGGACGGGUGAGUAACGCGUGGGCAACCAACCCUGUACAGUGGGAUAACACCGGGAAACCGGUGCUAAUACCGCAUGACACCUAUAUGGUGCAUACCGUAUAGGUUAAAGGAUUUAACCGGUACAGGACGGGCCCGCGUCCCAUUAGCUAGUUGGUGAGGUAACGGCCCACCAAGGCGACGAUGGGUAGCCGACCUGAGAGGGUGACCGGCCACACUGGGACUGAGACACGGCCCAGACUCCUACGGGAGGCAGCAGUGGGGAAUAUUGCGCAAUGGGGGGAACCCUGACGCAGCGACGCCGCGUGAGCGACGAAGGCCUUCGGGUCGUAAAGCUCUGUUCUUGGGACGAAGGAAAUGACGGUACCCAAGGAGAAAGCCCCGGCUAACUACGUG